GAUGAACGCUGGCGGCGUGCCUAAUACAUGCAAGUCGAGCGAACAGAUGAGGAGCUUGCUCCUCUGACGUUAGCGGCGGACGGGUGAGUAACACGUGGAUAACCUACCUAUAAGACUGGGAUAACUUCGGGAAACCGGAGCUAAUACCGGAUAAUAUAUUGAACCGCAUGGUUCAAUAGUGAAAGCCGGUUUUGCUGUCACUUAUAGAUGGAUCCGCGCCGCAUUAGCUAGUUGGUAAGGUAACGGCUUACCAAGGCAACGAUGCGUAGCCGACCUGAGAGGGUGAUCGGCCACACUGGAACUGAGACACGGUCCAGACUCCUACGGGAGGCAGCAGUAGGGAAUCUUCCGCAAUGGGCGAAAGCCUGACGGAGCAACGCCGCGUGAGUGAUGAAGGUCUUCGGAUCGUAAAACGCUGUUAUUGGGGAAGAACAAAUGUGUAAGUAACUAUGCACGUCUUGACGGUACCUAAACAGAAAGCCACGGCUAACUACGUG
RNAcentral lists this ribosomal RNA (497 nucleotides) under uncultured bacterium. Its description in RNAcentral is "partial 16S ribosomal RNA". It matches the Rfam family "Bacterial small subunit ribosomal RNA", at positions 28 to 507 of the family's 1533-position model. The record is from RNAcentral.